Molecule: ribosomal RNA, 320 nt
Filed under: uncultured eukaryote
Lineage: Eukaryota
Description: partial 18S ribosomal RNA
Rfam family: Eukaryotic small subunit ribosomal RNA
Source: RNAcentral
CCCUUAGAUGUUCUGGGCCGCACGCGCGCUACACUGACGAAUGCAACGAGCUUAUAACCUUGGCCGAAAGGUCUGGGUAAUCUCCAAAUUUCGUCGUGAUGGGGAUAGAUUAUUGCAAUUAUUAAUCUUCAACGAGGAAUGCCUAGUAAGCGCAAGUCAUCAGCUUGCAUUGAUUACGUCCCUGCCCUUUGUACACACCGCCCGUCGCACCUACCGAUUGAAUGGUCCGGUGAAAUCUCGGGACGGCGGCUUGGUCGCUUGCGUCCGACUGCUGAAACUUGAUUAAACCAUAUCAUUUAGAGGAAGGUGAAGUCGUAACA